UGCGUAACGCGUAUGCAACCUACCAUCAACAGGGGGAUAACACUGAGAAAUUGGUACUAAUACCCCAUAAUAUCUCAUGCGGCAUCGCAUGGGGUUGAAAACUCCGGUGGUUGAUGAUGGGCAUGCGUUGUAUUAGCUGGUUGGUGAGGUAACGGCUCACCAAGACGACGAUACAUAGAGGGACUGAGAGGUUAACCCCCCCACAUUGGUACUGAGACAUGGACCAAACUCCUACGGAAGGCAGCAG
RNAcentral lists this ribosomal RNA (247 nucleotides) under uncultured bacterium. RNAcentral's name for it is "partial 16S ribosomal RNA". It matches the Rfam family "Bacterial small subunit ribosomal RNA", at positions 107 to 354 of the family's 1533-position model. The record is from RNAcentral.